GCAGUUCGGCGUGUGUUUUGUCCAAGUGCGGUUGCCAUAGCCCAGCCGUCUGUCGAUUGCUGUUGGAAUUUGGAGUCCUGUAUGAUGCCUUUAAAUCCUGACACAACAUCCUAAAUGGGAUAUGUGAUAGAGAGCAGGUGUGUCCAUGUGGUGCACUGCUGCCAUCAUCAUCCGACACACCUGAUGCACUGCUGCCAUCAUCAUCCGACACACCUGAUGCACUGCUGCCAUCAUCAUCCGACACACCUGAUGCACUGCUGCCAUCAUCAUCAUCACGCGAGCGCCGAAGAGGGACGCAGGGCCACGCGGCGCAGUUGUUACACUAUUUAUUAAAAGGCAAAAAUAAAUGGAUUUCAAUAAUAGUAAUAAUUUCCUCUCACAAUUGAUAUUGCCACCACCAGGCAGACGUUUCACUUUUUAAUUAACAGAUAUUGAACAUAUCAUAUUUUACACCCAACACAUGAAAAUAGGAAUUUCAGACAUUUUAAGGUAAACAAAGUAUUAGGUCAGAUGUGGAACUAUUGUUACCCAUAGCUUAUAUUACAUUUCACACAAAGUCCAUCCUCUACAUAACAUCAGGUGACAAGUGAUGUCAGCACCACCAAUUUGUCAAUAGGGCACUGUAUCAAGGAACUAAGGUACACUAAAUAAUGUUAUCAUGUGACCAAGGGUCCUCUCCAAAAAACCCUACCACUGCAGAUCACUGGGGUCCAGCUCACGCCCAUCAAGGACACAUGGAAAUAUGCCUGAACAAGGCGUUAUUCAGGAGCCCACACAUCCAAGCCAUGUGCACUCCAUCUGCUUAAUGGCAGACAGGCAGUCAGACUGUAUCAAAGCAUGAGAUCGCAUAACCAACAGGUUCAGAGGCUUUUCAACACUUGACCACGAACACACACACACACACACACACACACAGGGAGAGACACCCAAGGCCCACACACUUCAUAACCACUCAGACGCAUUUACAUUUCUGUAUUAGAAUGAUAUUAUAACUACUACAAUGAACACCUCCCACUUCAUAACAAUUUUAAAUACUGUAAAUACUCAGCGCUUCACAACAUUUUCACCUUUAUCUUUCUAUAAAAUAUUAUCUUCUUUAGUAAUGUGUCCACAAUGAAAGCUGGAAUGAAAUAUUAAAGGUGCUUCAAAUUAUGCUACAUGAUCAUCUACCACUUUCCAACUGAGAAGUUCUACCUUGGCAAUAAAUAAUUGGUUUAGAGGACUCAAGUAGAGUGACAUCUGAUUCUAGCCUGUUACAACAAAAAAGAUCAAUGCGUCCCCCUCCCCAAACGACCUGUUGCAUCCCUGAACCUCAUUUUUAGUGAUUAGUGGCAUUGUGAUGUCUGAGACACGAUGAGAUCACGUCUACACAAGGUGAGAUCACUUGUGGUUCUGAGGAGCUGUGGCAUUUCAACAGUGAUCAUACUGCUGUGCAUCUUUAAAAGCUAAGUGGUUGGUGGAUGAAUAUUAAUGUAGGCACUAGGGGUGGAGCCGAACCCGAAUACGGUAUUCGGAAAGGCACAAAUAACGGUAUUCGAAUACGGUAUUCGGAA
Molecule: long non-coding RNA, 1553 nt
Organism: Esox lucius (northern pike)
Lineage: Eukaryota; Metazoa; Chordata; Actinopteri; Esociformes; Esocidae
Exons: 3
Source: RefSeq, a predicted model, not a curated record